GAGUUUGAUCAUGGCUCAGGAUGAACGCUGGCGGCGUGCCUAAUACAUGCAAGUCGAACGAACAGAUAAGGAGCUUGCUCCUUUGACGUUAGCGGCGGACGGGUGAGUAACACGUGGGUAACCUACCUAUAAGACUGGAAUAACUCCGGGAAACCGGGGCUAAUGCCGGAUAACAUGUUGAACCGCGUGGUUCUACAGUGAAAGACGGUCUUGCUGUCACUUAUAGAUGGACCCGCGCCGUAUUAGCUAGUUGGUGGGGUAACGGCCUACCAAGGCGACGAUACGUAGCCGACCUGAGAGGGUGAUCGGCCACACUGGAACUGAGACACGGUCCAGACUCCUACGGGAGGCAGCAGUAGGGAAAUCUUCCGCAAUGGGCGGAAGCCUGACGGAGCAACGCCGCGUGAGUGAUGAAGGUCUUCGGAUCGUAAAGCUCUGUUGUUAGGGAAGAACAAAUGUGUAAGUAACUGUGCAUAUCUUGACGGUACCUAACCAGAAAGCCACGGCUAACUACGUGCCAGCCGCCG
RNAcentral lists this ribosomal RNA (527 nucleotides) under uncultured microorganism. Its description in RNAcentral is "bacterial SSU rRNA". It matches the Rfam family "Bacterial small subunit ribosomal RNA", at positions 9 to 517 of the family's 1533-position model. The record is from RNAcentral.